RNAcentral lists this ribosomal RNA (497 nucleotides) under uncultured bacterium. Its description in RNAcentral is "partial 16S ribosomal RNA". It matches the Rfam family "Bacterial small subunit ribosomal RNA", at positions 28 to 507 of the family's 1533-position model. The record is from RNAcentral.
GAUGAACGCUGGCGGCGUGCCUAAUACAUGCAAGUCGAGCGAACAGACGAGGAGCUUGCUCCUCUGACGUUAGCGGCGGACGGGUGAGUAACACGUGGAUAACCUACCUAUAAGACUGGGAUAACUUCGGGAAACCGGAGCUAAUACCGGAUAAUAUAUUGAACCGCAUGGUUCAAUAGUGAAAGACGGUUUUGCUGUCACUUAUAGAUGGAUCCGCGCCGCAUUAGCUAGUUGGUAAGGUAACGGCUUACCAAGGCAACGAUGCGUAGCCGACCUGAGAGGGUGAGCAGCCACACUGGAACAGACACCCGGACCGGACUCAUACGGGAGGCAGCAGUAGGGAAUCUUCCGCGAUGGGCGAAAGACUGACGGAGCAACGCCGCGUGAAUGAUGAAGUUCGUCGGAUCGUAAAACUCUGUUAAUAGGGAAGAACAAAUGUGUAAGUAACUAUGCACGUCUAGACGGUACCUAAUCAGAAAGCCACGGCUAACUACGUA